AUGCCUGUGAAAAUAAGAGAAAGGAGAACUUAUAUAAUAAACUAAAUGAAAAUGAUUUGAUCUGAUGGAGCUGAGUUGAUAAGAACAUGCAGGAAAGCAAAACUGUAGGUUUAACAGCGAAAGCUAAAAUCUGUUAGAGAAACAGAAAUAGUACCUCUAGAUUGUGCUACAUGAAUAUGAAAACAAAACUCCACAGACUGGGAAUUGCUGCAUGUUAUCCUCCACCAGAAAAAUCAGACAGAUUAGCAGUGAGAAAAAUAAAUUGCAGAAGUAAUUUGGAUUUAUGGCCAACUGUCACCUGAAAAUAUAAUGCUAGAUCUUGAAAGAAAAGCUGGAGCUUAAAUGUGAAAAUCCUAGCUGGACUAUUGCCUGGACUUUUUAAUAAGAUUAUAAUUACCCUGGAUUUGAGACAAUAGUUCUAACAAUGAUUUUGAGCCAACUUGAAUUUAAAUAAAGGUCUAUUAAAUAAA
This is a long non-coding RNA of Pantherophis guttatus, 470 nucleotides long. RefSeq lists it as uncharacterized. The record is from RefSeq and is a predicted model, not a curated record. Lineage: Eukaryota; Metazoa; Chordata; Lepidosauria; Squamata; Colubridae.